AUGGCGGAGGAACCGUCCGCCAACCGUCAUCAUGCCGAGACGUCAGACAAGAGGAGCAACCUCGUCGACAUUAACGUCCCCGCCGAGAAGCGCAACUACACCAGAACGCUCGAAGGGGUUGAGCUCCAUGGCAAGGAGACGCUGGAGAUCGUCUGCACCAGCGAACCAGACAAGGCCUAUGAGAUGAUGAGCAGGCUCAGGAUGAAGGGAGGCGGCUUGUAUCCGAGCUUCAUUGGAGUUGAUGUGGAGUACACCGACGAGGAAAAACCUCCACAGAUGGCGGCAGUCCUGCAGUUGUGCGUCGAGGAACUCUGCUUGGUGUACCACAUCGCAGCGGCCACACAAUGGCCCAAGCACCUCAAAGACUUCCUGCAGGAGGAGAAAUUGUACACAUUUGUCGGUUUCAGCAUUGGAGGUGACAAGCGGAAGAUGGAGAAGUCUGGUGUGGAAAUCAACCCCAACAACUUCAUCGACAUGCAACACAAGUGGAAAGAUCCAAAGACCGACAAAUACUACGACUCCUUGGCCGAUGUUGCAGGCGGCGUCAUCCACCCAUUCUACGAAGGCAUGAAGAAGAAGAUGAAUAGGUAA
RNAcentral lists this ribosomal RNA (591 nucleotides) under Triticum aestivum (bread wheat). RNAcentral's name for it is "partial small subunit ribosomal RNA". The record is from RNAcentral. Lineage: Eukaryota; Viridiplantae; Streptophyta; Magnoliopsida; Poales; Poaceae.